UACGGAGGGGGCUAGCGUUGUUCGGAAUUACUGGGCGUAAAGCGCACGUAGGCGGCUUUGUAAGUUAGAGGUGAAAGCCCGGAGCUCAACUUCGGAAUUGCCUUUAAGACUGCAUCGCUUGAAUCAUGGUGAGGUCAGUGGAAUUCCGAGUGUAGAGGUGAAAUUCGUAGAUAUUCGGAAGAACACCAGUGGCGAAGGCGACUGACUGGACAUGUAUUGACGCUGAGGUGCGAAAGCGUGGGGAGCAAACAGG
This 253-nucleotide ribosomal RNA is filed under the name uncultured bacterium. RNAcentral describes it as "partial 16S ribosomal RNA". It matches the Rfam family "Bacterial small subunit ribosomal RNA", at positions 524 to 776 of the family's 1533-position model. The record is from RNAcentral.